Molecule: long non-coding RNA, 365 nt
Organism: Asparagus officinalis (garden asparagus)
Lineage: Eukaryota; Viridiplantae; Streptophyta; Magnoliopsida; Asparagales; Asparagaceae
Exons: 3
Source: RefSeq, a predicted model, not a curated record
AAUAUAUUUUAUAUUGGUCAUUAGACAAAAUCUGAUAAAGCGAAGGUGAGUCGAUCAAAGUUGCCCUACAAUCAUAUAUCUGGUUCCCGAUCAUUUGCAGCAGCGAUGUCACUAAUUAAAUCAAAAAAUGAUGGGCAAGUUCCCUCUUUUGCGGAAUUUUACAAGGAAACCCACUACCAAAAAAAGGAAAGUAUGGGUAAACGAGAAAGCACAAGAUACCUAUGAGCGAUUAGUCAACAAGACUAUCGAACAAUCUCAGCCCGAAGUUACAUCCCCGAUGAAUGAGUUUGAGAUCUCCAUUGAGGUACUUGGAAGGAGGCCAGGUUACCUGAAGGGGUAUGGGAUCCACCUUCGAGGGAGUUCAU